CUAUGACGGGUAUCCGGCCUGAGAGGGUGAACGGACACACUGGAACUGAGACACGGUCCAGACUCCUACGGGAGGCAGCAGUAGGGAAUAUUGCUCAAUGGGGGAAACCCUGAAGCAGCAACGCCGCGUGGAGGAUGAAGGUUUUAGGAUUGUAAACUCCUUUUGUUAGAGAAGAUAAUGACGGUAUCUAACGAAUAAGCACCGGCUAACUCCGUGCCAGCAGCCGCGGUAAUACGGAGGGUGCAAGCGUUACUCGGAAUCACUGGGCGUAAAGAGCGCGUAGGCGGGAUAGUCAGUCAGGUGUGAAAUCCUAUGGCUUAACCAUAGAACUGCAUUUGAAACUACUAUUCUAGAGUGUGGGAGAGGUAGGUGGAAUUCUUGGU
This 383-nucleotide ribosomal RNA is filed under the name Helicobacter pylori. Its description in RNAcentral is "bacterial SSU rRNA". It matches the Rfam family "Bacterial small subunit ribosomal RNA", at positions 274 to 674 of the family's 1533-position model. Lineage: Bacteria; Pseudomonadati; Campylobacterota; Epsilonproteobacteria; Campylobacterales; Helicobacteraceae. The record is from RNAcentral.